Molecule: ribosomal RNA, 444 nt
Filed under: uncultured bacterium
Lineage: Bacteria
Description: bacterial SSU rRNA
Rfam family: Bacterial small subunit ribosomal RNA
Source: RNAcentral
AACGCGAAGAACCUUACCUACCCUUGACAUCCCUGGAACCUAGGUUAAGCGCCUGGGGUGCCUUCGGGAACCAGGAGACAGGUGCUGCAUGGCUGUCGUCAGCUCGUGUCGUGAGAUGUUGGGUUAAGUCCCGUAACGAGCGCAACCCUUAUCCUUAGUUGCCAGCACGUAAAGGUGGGGACUCUAAGGAGACUGCCGGUGACAAACCGGAGGAAGGUGGGGACGAGGUCAAGUCAUCAUGGCCUUUAUGGGUAGGGCUACACACGUGCUACAAUGGGGUGGAACAGAGGGGAGCGAGAGCGCGAGCUUUAGCAAAUCCUAUAAAACACCUCGUAGUCCGGAUUGGAGUCUGCAACUCGACUCCAUGAAGUUGGAAUCGCUAGUAAUCGCCGAUCAGCAUGCGGCGGUGAAUACGUUCCCGGGCCUUGUACACACCGCGUGUCU